This 254-nucleotide ribosomal RNA is filed under the name uncultured bacterium. RNAcentral describes it as "partial 16S ribosomal RNA". It matches the Rfam family "Bacterial small subunit ribosomal RNA", at positions 524 to 776 of the family's 1533-position model. The record is from RNAcentral.
UACGGGGGGAGCAAGCGUUGUUCGGAUUUACUGGGCGUAAAGGGCGCGUAGGCGGUCAGCACAAGUCAGUUGUGAAAUCUCCGGGCUUAACUCGGAAAGGUCAACUGAUACUGUGCGACUAGAGUGCAGAAGGGGCAACUGGAAUUCUCGGUGUAGCGGUGAAAUGCGUAGAUAUCGAGAGGAACACCUGCGGCGAAGGCGGGUUGCUGGGCUGACACUGACACUGAGAGACGAAAGCUAGGGGAGCGAAUGGG